GGGAUAGCCUUUCGAAAGAAAGAUUAAUACCCGAUGGCAUAGUUCUUCCGCAUGGUGGAAUUAUUAAAGAAUUUCGGUCAUCGAUGGGGAUGCGUUCCAUUAGGUUGUUGGCGGGGUAACGGCCCACCAAGCCUUCGAUGGAUAGGGGUUCUGAGAGGAAGGUCCCCCACAUUGGAACUGAGACACGGUCCAAACUCCUACGGGAGGCAGCAGUGAGGAAUAUUGGUCAAUGGACGAGAGUCUGAACCAGCCAAGUAGCGUGAAGGAUGACUGCCCUAUGGGUUGUAAACUUCUUUUAUACGGGAAUAAAGUGAGGCACGUGUGCCUUUUUGUAUGUACCGUAUGAAUAAGGAUCGGCUAACUCCGUGCCAGCAGCCGCGGUAAUACGGAGGAUCCGAGCGUUAUCCGGAUUUAUUGGGUUUAAAGGGAGCGUAGGCGGACGCUUAAGUCAGUUGUGAAAGUUUGCGGCUCAACCGUAAAAUUGCAGUUGAUACUGGGUGUCUUGAGUACAGUAGAGGCAGGCGGAAUUCGUGGUGUAGCGGUGAAAUGCUUAGAUAUCACGAAGAACUCCGAUUGCGAAGGCAGCUUGCUGGACUGUAACUGACGCUGAUGCUCGAAAGUGUGGGUAUCAAACAGGAUUAGAUACCCUGGUAGUCCACACAGUAAACGAUGAAUACUCGCUGUUUGCGAUAUACAGUAAGCGGCCAAG
Molecule: ribosomal RNA, 709 nt
Filed under: uncultured bacterium
Lineage: Bacteria
Description: bacterial SSU rRNA
Rfam family: Bacterial small subunit ribosomal RNA
Source: RNAcentral